Molecule: ribosomal RNA, 265 nt
Filed under: uncultured archaeon
Lineage: Archaea
Description: partial 16S ribosomal RNA
Rfam family: Archaeal small subunit ribosomal RNA
Source: RNAcentral
AGUCACUGACAUUAGAUACCCGUGUAGUCCAGGGUGUAAACGCUGCAGACUUGGUGUUGGAGGCCCUUUGGGGGCAUUCAGUGCCGGAGAGAAGUUGUUAAGUCUGCUACUUGGGGAGUACGUCCGCAAGGAUGAAACUUAAAGGAAUUGGCGGGGGAGCACCGCAACGGGAGGAGCGUGCGGUUUAAUUGGAUUCAACACCGUAAAACUCACCAGGGAAGACUGUUACAUGAAGGCCGAGAUGAAGACUCUGCCAGAUUUUCAG